ACUGAUAGCCCAAUUUCAGUUUUUUCUGUUUUUUUU
This 36-nucleotide small RNA is filed under the name Arabidopsis thaliana (thale cress). RNAcentral's name for it is "ATSL216080". The record is from RNAcentral. Lineage: Eukaryota; Viridiplantae; Streptophyta; Magnoliopsida; Brassicales; Brassicaceae.